GAGGAAAAGAAACCAACAGGGAUUGCCUCAGUAGCGGCGAGUGAAGCGGCAAAAGCUCAAAUUUGAAAUCUGGCGUCUUUGGCGUCCGAGUUGUAAUUUGAAGAAGGUAUCUUUGGGCCCGGCUCUUGUCUAUGUUCCUUGGAACAGGACGUCACAGAGGGUGAGAAUCCCGUGCGAUGAGAUGGCCCGGGUCUAUGUAAAGUUCCUUCGACGAGUCGAGUUGUUUGGGAAUGCAGCUCUAAGUGGGUGGUAAAUUCCAUCUAAAGCUAAAUAUUGGCGAGAGACCGAUAGCGAACAAGUACAGUGAUGGAAAGAUGAAAAGAACUUUGAAAAGAGAGUGAAAAAGUACGUGAAAUUGUUGAAAGGGAAGGGCUUGAGAUCAGACUUGGUAUUUUGCAAGUUACUCUUUCGGGGGUGGCCUCUGCGGUUUACCGGGCCAGCAUCGGUUUGGAGCGGUAGGAUAAUGGCGGGGGAAUGUGGCACGACUUUGGUUGUGUGUUAUAGCCUCUGACGAUACUGCCAGCCUAGACCGAGGACUGCGGUUUUUACCUAGGAUGUUGGCAUAAUGAUCUUAAGU
RNAcentral lists this ribosomal RNA (577 nucleotides) under Candida dubliniensis. RNAcentral describes it as "partial large subunit ribosomal RNA". It matches the Rfam family "Eukaryotic large subunit ribosomal RNA", at positions 53 to 645 of the family's 3401-position model. Lineage: Eukaryota; Fungi; Ascomycota; Pichiomycetes; Serinales; Debaryomycetaceae. The record is from RNAcentral.